Molecule: ribosomal RNA, 1548 nt
Filed under: Neisseria gonorrhoeae
Lineage: Bacteria; Pseudomonadati; Pseudomonadota; Betaproteobacteria; Neisseriales; Neisseriaceae
Description: bacterial SSU rRNA
Rfam family: Bacterial small subunit ribosomal RNA
Source: RNAcentral
AUUGAACAUAAGAGUUUGAUCCUGGCUCAGAUUGAACGCUGGCGGCAUGCUUUACACAUGCAAGUCGGACGGCAGCACAGGGAAGCUUGCUUCUCGGGUGGCGAGUGGCGAACGGGUGAGUAACAUAUCGGAACGUACCGGGUAGCGGGGGAUAACUGAUCGAAAGAUCAGCUAAUACCGCAUACGUCUUGAGAGGGAAAGCAGGGGACCUUCGGGCCUUGCGCUAUCCGAGCGGCCGAUAUCUGAUUAGCUGGUUGGCGGGGUAAAGGCCCACCAAGGCGACGAUCAGUAGCGGGUCUGAGAGGAUGAUCCGCCACGCUGGGACUGAGACACGGCCCAGACUCCUACGGGAGGCAGCAGUGGGGAAUUUUGGACAAUGGGCGCAAGCCUGAUCCAGCCAUGCCGCGUGUCUGAAGAAGGCCUUCGGGUUGUAAAGGACUUUUGUCAGGGAAGAAAAGGCCGUUGCCAAUAUCGGCGGCCGAUGACGGUACCUGAAGAAUAAGCACCGGCUAACUACGUGCCAGCAGCCGCGGUAAUACGUAGGGUGCGAGCGUUAAUCGGAAUUACUGGGCGUAAAGCGGGCGCAGACGGUUACUUAAGCAGGAUGUGAAAUCCCCGGGCUCAACCCGGGAACUGCGUUCUGAACUGGGUGACUCGAGUGUGUCAGAGGGAGGUGGAAUUCCACGUGUAGCAGUGAAAUGCGUAGAGAUGUGGAGGAAUACCGAUGGCGAAGGCAGCCUCCUGGGAUAACACUGACGUUCAUGUCCGAAAGCGUGGGUAGCAAACAGGAUUAGAUACCCUGGUAGUCCACGCCCUAAACGAUGUCAAUUAGCUGUUGGGCAACUUGAUUGCUUGGUAGCGUAGCUAACGCGUGAAAUUGACCGCCUGGGGAGUACGGUCGCAAGAUUAAAACUCAAAGGAAUUGACGGGGACCCGCACAAGCGGUGGAUGAUGUGGAUUAAUUCGAUGCAACGCGAAGAACCUUACCUGGUUUUGACAUGUGCGGAAUCCUCCGGAGACGGAGGAGUGCCUUCGGGAGCCGUAACACAGGUGCUGCAUGGCUGUCGUCAGCUCGUGUCGUGAGAUGUUGGGUUAAGUCCCGCAACGAGCGCAACCCUUGUCAUUAGUUGCCAUCAUUCGGUUGGGCACUCUAAUGAGACUGCCGGUGACAAGCCGGAGGAAGGUGGGGAUGACGUCAAGUCCUCAUGGCCCUUAUGACCAGGGCUUCACACGUCAUACAAUGGUCGGUACAGAGGGUAGCCAAGCCGCGAGGCGGAGCCAAUCUCACAAAACCGAUCGUAGUCCGGAUUGCACUCUGCAACUCGAGUGCAUGAAGUCGGAAUCGCUAGUAAUCGCAGGUCAGCAUACUGCGGUGAAUACGUUCCCGGGUCUUGUACACACCGCCCGUCACACCAUGGGAGUGGGGGAUACCAGAAGUAGGUAGGGUAACCGCAAGGAGCCCGCUUACCACGGUAUGCUUCAUGACUGGGGUGAAGUCGUAACAAGGUAGCCGUAGGGGAACCUGCGGCUGGAUCACCUCCUUUCUAG